Molecule: non-coding RNA, 1498 nt
Organism: Sus scrofa (pig)
Lineage: Eukaryota; Metazoa; Chordata; Mammalia; Artiodactyla; Suidae
Source: RefSeq, a predicted model, not a curated record
UGGCUGUGUCUUGGGGACAUCUGCUCUAACAGCAACUCUCAGGCUUUCCUCCUCUCUGGCUCAGCAGCCCCCGGGGCUGUAUUGGCCUUGGGCAAUAUGCAGGUCAGCUUCCUUCCCCCUCUUUGUUUAUUACUGAGAAGCGCCUGCCAAUAUGGGCUAUAUCUCUCUCAAAGUCUUUCAGAGCAGUGAGCCCAACUUAACUCCAAUCCUAACCCUAACCCUCUAAUCCUAACCCCCAAACCCUAAGCCUCUAACCCUAACCUCUCACCCCAAGCCAAACCCUAACACCGAACCUGAUCCCAAAGCCCAACCAGAACCCAAACCCUGACCCCUAACCCCAACCCUAAACCCUAACCCUAACCCAUCAGGUGCCUAUGGUUGUGGGAAAUGGGCCUUGCUCCUCAGGUUCUGUACAAAGAGCAUGUGGAGUCCUGAGGGUCAAGAUAGACGUGGGGCUGCAGCUCUAGCUCAUUUUCUAAUUUUAUCUGGCUCACGAGUGGGAGACUAUUUCAAGAAGACUCUCCUCAUGAGAGAAAUCCUGGAAGCAGAGAGAAGAGGGGAGGUGGGUGGAAACAGGGGCCGGGUACCCUGGUGCAUUGGAAGCCUCUGGAAGACCCACUGGAGGGAGGCUGCACGGAGAAACGUCCAGGGGCACAGACCUGCCCAGGAGCUGCUGUUAGUUCAGACACUGCUCUAAGGUGCUCAGGGUCCGCUCUAACAAGGGGGGCUGGGGGAGGGGUCUGCAGUGAGGUCUCUGUAUGUGGUUCCUGUGUGCUGGUCGCUGUCAGGGUGCCCGCCCAGGUGAGCUCCAUAUCCUGGGCAAGGCCUGCCCUCAUGAGCCCCAGGGGCUUCUGGGUUAUUGCUCAGGUGAGCUCCAUAUCCUGGGCAAGGCCUGCCCUUGUGAGCCCCAGGGGCUUCUGGGUUAUUGCCAAGGUGAGCUCCAUAUCCUGGGCAAGGCCUGCCCUUGUGAGCCCCGGGUGAUGAUGGGUGAUUGCCCAGGUGAGCUCCAUAUACAAGGCAUGAGCUGCCCUCAUGAGCCCCAGGGGCUGCUGGGUUAUUGCCAAGGUGAGCUCCAUAACCUGGGCAGGGCCUGCCCUUGUGAGCCCUGGGAACUGGGAGGGGCUUGUGAACAAGCAUCCUUUGCAGUUGGUAGAGAGUUGUUUAGUGUGAUUUUCUUGGGAGCAUUGCUGGAAUGAAAUGAGAACCAGAAAGUGCUGCACGUCCUUGGACCCCCACCCAGACUCAUCCAGAGUGACAAGUGGGAGAAAUCUAUGACAGAUAGAGCGACCAGGACCACUCCAGUCUAACACGUAGGACUCCAGUCAUUGAGCAAACAGACCAUUAUACCCAGUUACGCCACUGGGAUGUCCUGAUCCAGCAUCAAUGUCGUUACUCUGUCGAAUUCUAGAAUAAGAUUGCACUGUUACCCUAAACGUUAUUCUCCAAGGUCACCCCAACCAAAAUUGUGAGUCCAGUAAAAACUAUGUUAUUCUUUAAA